UGAAGCCUGAACUCGAGUAGGGCCCAAGCAAGCCAGGAAGGAGGAGGCAGCCAGAGUGUUCUCUGCAGCAGAAGACCCCUUGCUGCCCUGCUUAACCCAGACCAGCAUUUGCCAGUUCAUUUCCUGUUAAGCCUGCUAACUCAGCCAUCAAGUCGAUUUUGACUCCUGGUGCCCACAUAAUUUGGUGCCUACGCUUUGGUAUGCAGAUCAACACCCUGGAUAGCUCAUUCCUAUGCAUACUUACUCAGAAAGGCAGAUGCUGUGUUGAUAUGGAACACAUCCAAAGAAACCCUGCAGAAUGUAUGUUUUUUAACCCAGAUCACCAAAGCACAUUCAUCACACCCUGCUUGUUCAUCCACAAUGAAAAGAGACAAGUGGAAUGCUUAUUUUCCAGUGAACCUCCCCUUCUCCCAGAGUUUGAAAUAAAUAUUUCAGUUAAAUAGUUGA
Hemicordylus capensis (graceful crag lizard) is the source of this 447-nucleotide long non-coding RNA. RefSeq lists it as uncharacterized. The record is from RefSeq and is a predicted model, not a curated record. The transcript is spliced from 3 exons. Lineage: Eukaryota; Metazoa; Chordata; Lepidosauria; Squamata; Cordylidae.